Molecule: ribosomal RNA, 406 nt
Filed under: uncultured bacterium
Lineage: Bacteria
Description: partial 16S ribosomal RNA
Rfam family: Bacterial small subunit ribosomal RNA
Source: RNAcentral
AUUGAACGCUGGCGGCAGGCCUAACACAUGCAAGUCGAGCGAGUGGCGGACGGGUGAGUAAUGUCUGGGACACUUCCUGAUGGAGGGGGACAACUACUGGAAACGAUAGCUAAUUCCGUAUACCAUCGCCUGGGCCCAGAUGGGAUUAGCUAGUAGGUGGGGUAAAGGCUCACCUCGGUGAGGAUCCCUAGCUGGUCUGAGAGGAUGAUCAGCCACACUGGAACUGAGACACGGUCCAGACUCCUACGGGAGGCAGCAGUGGGGAAUAUUGGACAAUGGGCGAAAGCCUGAUGCAGCCAUGCCGCGUGUAUGAAGAAGGCCUUCGGGUUGUAAAGUACUUUCAGCGGGGAGGCGUUACCCGCAGAAGAAGCACCGGCUAACUCCGUGCCAGCAGCCGCGGUAAUAC